AUUGAACGCUGGCGGCAUGCCUUACACAUGCAAGUCGAACGGCAGCGGGGGAGAAGCUUGCUUUUCCUGCCGGCGAGUGGCGAACGGGUGAGUAAUACAUCGGAACGUGCCCUGUAGUGGGGGAUAACUAGUCGAAAGAUUAGCUAAUACCGCAUACGAUCUAAGGAUGAAAGCGGGGGUUCGCAAGACCUCGCGCGAUUGGAGCGGCCGAUGGCAGAUUAGGUAGUUGGUAGGGUAAAGGCCUACCAAGCCGACGAUCUGUAGCUGGUCUGAGAGGAUGAUCAGCCACACUGGGACUGAGACACGGCCCAGACUCCUACGGGAGGCAGCAGUGGGGAAUUUUGGACAAUGGACGCAAGUCUGAUCCAGCCAUUCCGCGUGCAGGAUGAAGGCCCUCGGGUUGUAAACUGCUUUUGUACAGAACGAAAAGGCUCUGGUUAAUACCUAGGGCUCAUGACGGUACUGUAAGAAUAAGCACCGGCUAACUACGUGCCAGCCGCCGCAGUAA
This 508-nucleotide ribosomal RNA is filed under the name uncultured bacterium. RNAcentral describes it as "partial 16S ribosomal RNA". It matches the Rfam family "Bacterial small subunit ribosomal RNA", at positions 30 to 523 of the family's 1533-position model. The record is from RNAcentral.